UGGGGAAUAUUGGACAAUGGGCGAAAGCCUGAUCCAGCCAUGCCGCGUGUGUGAAGAAGGUCUUCGGAUUGUAAAGCACUUUAAGUUGGGAGGAAGGGCAGUUACCUAAUACGUGAUUGUCUUGACGUUACCGACAGAAUAAGCACCGGCUAAUUCUGUGCCGGCAGCCGCGGUAAAUACAGAGGGUGCAAGCGUUAAUCGGAAUUACUGGGCGUAAAGCGCGCGUAGGUGGUUUGUUAAGUUGGAUGUGAAAUCCCCGGGNUCAACCUGGGAACUGCAUUCAAAACUGUCAAGCUAGAGUAUGGUAGAGGGUGGUGGAAUUUCCUGUGUAGCGGUGAAAUGCGUAGAUAUAGGAAGGAACACCAGUGGCGAAGGCGACCACCUGGACUGAUACUGACACUGAGGUGCGAAAGCGUGGGGAGCAAAACGGAUUAGAUACCCUGGUAGUCCACGCCGUAAACGUGUCAACUAGCCGUUGGGAGCCUUGGGCUCUUAGUGGCGCAGCUAACGCAUUAAGUUGACCGCCUGGGGAGUACGGCCGCAAGGUUAAAAACUUAAAGGAAUUGACGGGGUCAUAGCUGUUUCCUG
Molecule: ribosomal RNA, 588 nt
Filed under: uncultured bacterium
Lineage: Bacteria
Description: partial 16S ribosomal RNA
Rfam family: Bacterial small subunit ribosomal RNA
Source: RNAcentral